UACGAAGGGGGCUAGCGUUGUUCGGAAUCACUGGGCGUAAAGGGCGUGUAGGCGGUCAGGUAAGUGAGAUGUGAAAUGCCCCGGCUCACCCGGGGACCGGCAUCUCAUACUGCUUGGCUUGAGUACGGGAGAGGAUGUGGGAAUUCCUGGUGUAGCGGUGAAAUGCGUAGAUAUCAGGAGGAACACCGGUGGCGAAGGCGCACAUCUGGCCCGAUACUGACGCUGAGGCGCGAAAGCUAGGGGAGCAAACGGG
Molecule: ribosomal RNA, 253 nt
Filed under: uncultured bacterium
Lineage: Bacteria
Description: partial 16S ribosomal RNA
Rfam family: Bacterial small subunit ribosomal RNA
Source: RNAcentral